GGUUAAGCGACUAAGCGUACACGGUGGAUGCCCUGGCAGUCAGAGGCGAUGAAGGGCGUGCUAAUCUGCGAUAAGCGCCGGUAAGGUGAUAUGAACCGUUAUAACCGGCGAUACCCGAAUGGGGAAACCCAGUGUGACUCGUCACACUAUCAUUAACUGAAUCCAUAGGUUAAUGAGGCGAACCGGGAGAACUGAAACAUCUAAGUACCCCGAGGAAAAGAAAUCAACCGAGAUUCCCCCAGUAGCGGCGAGCGAACGGGGAGGAGCCCAGAGCCUGAAUCAGCAUGUGUGUUAGUGGAAGCGUCUGGAAAGGCGCGCGAUACAGGGUGACAGCCCCGUACACAAAAGCGCAUGUGCUGUGAGCUCGAUGAGUAGGGCGGGACACGUGGUAUCCUGUCUGAAUAUGGGGGGACCAUCCUCCAAGGCUAAAUACUCCUGACUGACCGAUAGUGAACCAGUACCGUGAGGGAAAGGCGAAAAGAACCCCGGCGAGGGGAGUGAAAAAGAACCUGAAACCGUGUACGUACAAGCAGUGGGAGCACAGGUUUACCUGUGUGACUGCGUACCUUUUGUAUAAUGGGUCAGCGACUUAUAUUCUGUAGCAAGGUUAACCGAAUAGGGGAGCCGGAGGGAAACCGAGUCUUAACCGGGCGUUAAGUUGCAGGGUAUAGACCCGAAACCCGGUGAUCUAGCCAUGGGCAGGUUGAAGGUUGGGUAACACUAACUGGAGGACCGAACCGACUAAUGUUGAAAAAUUAGCGGAUGACCUGUGGCUGGGGGUGAAAGGCCAAUCAAACCGGGAGAUAGCUGGUUCUCCCCGAAAGCUAUUUAGGUAGCGCCUCGUGAAUUCAUCUCCGGGGGUAGAGCACUGUUUCGGCUAGGGGGCCAUCCCGGCUUACCAACCCGAUGCAAACUGCGAAUACCGGAGAAUGUUAUCACGGGAGACACACGGCGGGUGCUAACGUCCGUCGUGAAGAGGGAAACAACCCAGACCGCCAGCUAAGGUCCCAAAGUCAUGGUUAAGUGGGAAACGAUGUGGGAAGGCCCAGACAGCCAGGAUGUUGGCUUAGAAGCAGCCAUCAUUUAAAGAAAGCGUAAUAGCUCACUGGUCGAGUCGGCCUGCGCGGAAGAUGUAACGGGGCUAAACCAUGCACCGAAGCUGCGGCAGCGAACGUAUCACCCAAGACAACUUUACGGAGUUGACGAUUGACGGAGCGAAGCGACGUCAAAGCGUUCAUUAAAGUCGAGUUGGCUUAGGGAUACGUUCGUUGGGUAGGGGAGCGUUCUGUAAGCCUGUGAAGGUGGCCUGUGAGGGUUGCUGGAGGUAUCAGAAGUGCGAAUGCUGACAUAAGUAACGAUAAAGCGGGUGAAAAGCCCGCUCGCCGGAAGACCAAGGGUUCCUGUCCAACGUUAAUCGGGGCAGGGUGAGUCGACCCCUAAGGCGAGGCCGAAAGGCGUAGUCGAUGGGAAACAGGUUAAUAUUCCUGUACUUGGUGUUACUGCGAAGGGGGGACGGAGAAGGCUAUGUUGGCCGGGCGACGGUUGUCCCGGUUUAAGCGUGUAGGUGUGUGUUCCAGGUAAAUCCGGUUCACUUUAACACUGAGGCGUGAUGACGAGGCACUACGGUGCUGAAGCAACAAAUGCCCUGCUUCCAGGAAAAGCCUCUAAGCAUCAGGUAACAUCAAAUCGUACCCCAAACCGACACAGGUGGUCAGGUAGAGAAUACCAAGGCGCUUGAGAGAACUCGGGUGAAGGAACUAGGCAAAAUGGUGCCGUAACUUCGGGAGAAGGCACGCUGACACGUAGGUGAAGUGAUUUACUCACGGAGCUGAAGUCAGUCGAAGAUACCAGCUGGCUGCAACUGUUUAUUAAAAACACAGCACUGUGCAAACACGAAAGUGGACGUAUACGGUGUGACGCCUGCCCGGUGCCGGAAGGUUAAUUGAUGGGGUCAGCGCAAGCGAAGCUCCUGAUCGAAGCCCCGGUAAACGGCGGCCGUAACUAUAACGGUCCUAAGGUAGCGAAAUUCCUUGUCGGGUAAGUUCCGACCUGCACGAAUGGCGUAAUGAUGGCCAGGCUGUCUCCACCCGAGACUCAGUGAAAUUGAACUCGCUGUGAAGAUGCAGUGUACCCGCGGCAAGACGGAAAGACCCCGUGAACCUUUACUAUAGCUUGACACUGAACAUUGAGCCUUGAUGUGUAGGAUAGGUGGGAGGCUUUGAAGCGUGGACGCCAGUCUGCGUGGAGCCGACCUUGAAAUACCACCCUUUAAUGUUUGAUGUUCUAACGUGGACCCGUAAUCCGGGUUGCGGACAGUGUCUGGUGGGUAGUUUGACUGGGGCGGUCUCCUCCUAAAGAGUAACGGAGGAGCACGAAGGUUGGCUAAUCCUGGUCGGACAUCAGGAGGUUAGUGCAAUGGCAUAAGCCAGCUUGACUGCGAGCGUGACGGCGCGAGCAGGUGCGAAAGCAGGUCAUAGUGAUCCGGUGGUUCUGAAUGGAAGGGCCAUCGCUCAACGGAUAAAAGGUACUCCGGGGAUAACAGGCUGAUACCGCCCAAGAGUUCAUAUCGACGGCGGUGUUUGGCACCUCGAUGUCGGCUCAUCACAUCCUGGGGCUGAAGUAGGUCCCAAGGGUAUGGCUGUUCGCCAUUUAAAGUGGUACGCGAGCUGGGUUUAGAACGUCGUGAGACAGUUCGGUCCCUAUCUGCCGUGGGCGCUGGAGAACUGAGGGGGGCUGCUCCUAGUACGAGAGGACCGGAGUGGACGCAUCACUGGUGUUCGGGUUGUCAUGCCAAUGGCACUGCCCGGUAGCUAAAUGCGGAAGAGAUAAGUGCUGAAAGCAUCUAAGCACGAAACUUGCCCCGAGAUGAGUUCUCCCUGAGACUUAGAGUCUCCUGAAGGAACGUUGAAGACGACGACGUUGAUAGGCCGGGUGUGUAAGCGCAGCGAUGCGUUGAGCUAACCGGUACUAAUGAACCGUGAGGCUUAACCUU
This 2992-nucleotide ribosomal RNA is filed under the name Salmonella enterica subsp. enterica serovar Kottbus. RNAcentral's name for it is "23S ribosomal RNA". It matches the Rfam family "Bacterial large subunit ribosomal RNA". The record is from RNAcentral. Lineage: Bacteria; Pseudomonadati; Pseudomonadota; Gammaproteobacteria; Enterobacterales; Enterobacteriaceae.